RNAcentral lists this ribosomal RNA (511 nucleotides) under uncultured bacterium. Its description in RNAcentral is "bacterial SSU rRNA". It matches the Rfam family "Bacterial small subunit ribosomal RNA", at positions 1 to 507 of the family's 1533-position model. The record is from RNAcentral.
CUGUAGACACGAGUUUGACUCCGUGGCUCAGGACGAACGCUGGCGGCGUGCCUAACACAUGCAAGUCGAACGAAGCACUGUGGAUAGAGACUUCGGUCAAUUGAAGCUUUGACUUAGUGGCGGACGGGUGAGUAACGCGUGAGGAACCUGCCUUUCAGUGGGGGACAACAGUUGGAAACGACUGCUAAUACCGCAUAAUGUGUUUUGGGGGCAUCCCCGGAACACCAAAGAUUUAUUGCUGAAAGAUGGCCUCGCGUCUGAUUAGAUAGUUGGUGGGGUAACGGCCUACCAAGUCGACGAUCAGUAGCCGGACUGAGAGGUUGAACGGCCACAUUGGGACUGAGAUACGGCCCAGACUCCUACGGGAGGCAGCAGUCGGGAAUAUUGCGCAAUGGAGGAAACUCUGACGCAGUGACGCCGCGUAUAGGAAGAAGGUUUUCGGAUUGUAAACUAUUGUCGUUAGGGAAGAUACAAGACAGUACCUAAGGAGGAAGCUCCGGCUAACUACGUG